Molecule: ribosomal RNA, 479 nt
Filed under: uncultured bacterium
Lineage: Bacteria
Description: partial 16S ribosomal RNA
Rfam family: Bacterial small subunit ribosomal RNA
Source: RNAcentral
GACGAACGCUGGCGGCGCGCUUAACACAUGCAAGUCGAGCGAUGAAAUUUCGACAGAUCCCUUCGGGGUGAAGAUGAAAUGGAUUAGCGGCGGACGGGUGAAUAACACGUGAGUAACCUGCCUUUGACAUUGGGAUAGCCUCGGGAAACUGGGAUUAAUACCAAAUGACACUAACUGAUCACAUGAUCAAUUAGUCAAAGAAAUUCGGUCAAAGAUGGACUCGCGGCUGAUUAGCUAGUUGGUGAGGUAACGGCCCACCAAGGCGACGAUCAGUAGCCGGCCUGAGAGGGUGAUCGGCCACAUUGGAACUGAGACACGGUCCAAACUCCUACGGGAGGCAGCAGUGGGGAAUAUUGCACAAUGGGGGAAACCCUGAUGCAGCGACGCCGCGUGAGCGAAGAAGGCCUUCGGGUCGUAAAGCUCUUUUAUGAGGGAAGAUAAUGACGGUACCUCAAGAAAAAGCCCCGGCUAACUACGUG